GAAAAAAAAAAUAAAUGAAAAAUAAACGAAACCGCAUCAAGAUCAAGAUCAAGAUGUAAACAAACAAGCGGCCAUAAGAAGAAGAAGAAGAAGAUUCGCACCUAGCUAGCCACGUGAAGAGAAGGGAAAUUUGAUAAAACAGAGGGAAUAGAAGGAAGAGUGAAUGAUAAAGAGGAGUGCAGAGGAGGAAAAUUGAAGAAAAGGAGUGUAAGGAAGAGAAGAGAAGGAGACUAGGUGGCGAUGGUGGUGGUCCAGGUGUGUGGUGACCUGACCUUGGUGUGUGUGGGGGGGGGUCACUGCUUCUUAAUGACCGUAGAACAUCGGAAACCAAAAUUAUUGAUGUAUUUUCAAACAACAACAACAACAAAAAUAACAAAGAUGGACAGACAGACAAACAGACAGAUGCAUCAGGGAAGAAAGAAGAAGAAGAAGAAGAAGAAGAGGAUGUGAAGGAAAGAAAUGGAGGAAAAUGUGAUAAAAAGGGAAUAGAAGAAGAAGAAGAAGAAGAUGGAAGAGGAGAAGAUGAAGAAAAGGAAGAAGAGAAAAUUGAUAAAAAGGAAGAGAAGGAGGAGAAUAAUAGAGACACAGAGAGCCAAACCAUCCUAACUGCCUCGUUCUGCCCUGACGGUCAAUGGCUGGCCCUGGGAUGUGGGUGGAAGGCCCUGGAGGUGUGGAGUGUCCCUGACUGGCGGAGGGUCGUUAGGCACCCGCUCGUUAAGAAGCCAACUGCCACUGUGGUGAAUUGUGGUUGGGUGUAUGUGGCAGACAAAGCUGGUGAUGUUUACAAAUAUCCUCUUCCCUCCUCCUCUUCCUCCUCCUCCUCCUCCUCCUCCUCCUCCUCCUCCUCCAAGGAAGACUCCAGGCCCAUAUUAGGACACCUCUCAAUGCUCCUUGAUUUAACCAUCACCCGAGACAACAAAUUCAUCGUGACCUGCGACAGAGAUGAAAAAAUACGAGUUUCGAUCGCGUCAAGGCCGUUUGAGAUUCACUCCUUCCUUCUGGGUCACCGCGAGUUCGUGACCCAAGUGUCCGUGGUGUCAGAAGCCCCCCCACGCCUCCUCUCCUCCUCUGGGGACGGAACUCUCAAACUUUGGGAUUACGACAACGGGAAGCUUCUCUCCUCAUUAGACACCUCCUCACUUUCCUCCAGUUUCCUCCGCCCCCUUGAGGUGGAGGAGGGGGGUCAAGGGGGGGUUGGAGGGGGGAAGGAUUGCCCCACCCCCCCACCCCAGCACCCCACCCCCACUCCCCCUCCUGUGCCUGCAGUGAGGGGGUUUGCUGUUAGAGAAUUGCCAAGUUCUGCUCAUCUUGUUGCUUUUGUUGUUGAUAGGUAAGAGAGAGAGAGAGAGAGAGAGAGAGAGAGAGAGAGAGAGAGAGAGAGAGAGAGAGACACAAAUACAAACAAACAAAAGACUGAAAACCCUCUCCUCUCCCCUUCAUUCCAGAGCGGCAGCCCAUCUUUCUUUGCCAAUUGAGAGAGGACAGCCUCACCCACCUUUCCACCACAAGAUUACCCACAAUCCCCCUCGCAGCCAAGUGGAGGAGUGGAGAUGAGCUGGUGGUGGUGGAGGAGGGGGCCGGCAUUGAGGUCCUGCGGAGGGGAGGGGAGGAGAUGACUCGGGUGGAGGAGGAGGAGGAGAAAAGUGGAUUAAUGCAGUUUGUGAAGCAGAGUGGAGGAUGGUGGGGAGGUGCCCCCAUCAGCAGCAGCCUUGGUCACCUGUACAAGCAGAGGUACGACAAUGUGUCUCGGUACCUGGAAAAGAAGAAAGAGAGGAUGUUAACAGAGGAGGCAUUCCAGCAGGGCCAAGGACCACCGCCAAAAAAGGGACGGUGGCUUAAAUAAAGAAAAUGGGGUGUUUUGGGGUUUUUAGGGGUGAUUAAAUGGUUUUUUUAUUGUUUUAUUUAUUUAUUUAUUUUUUUUUUUCGUUUUUUCGUUUUAUUUAUUUAUUUAUUUUGUUUUAUAUUUAUUUGUUUUCUGUAUCUCUUUUUUUCUUUGGGUUUCCUCAGUUUUAUUUUUUUGUUAUUGCUAUUAUUUUUUUUUUUUAUUCCUUUAUAUGGUAUUAUUAUUAUUAUUUUUUUUUUUUUAUUGUUUUGUUUGGUAAGUUUUAGGUUCUUUUUUGUUAUCUAUUUUUUUCUCGUUUUUUUUCAAGUUUUUGUUUAUUUCUUUUCUUUCCUCUGAUUUAUUUUUAUUAUUUUUUUGUGGUUUUUAUUUUUUUUAUCUAUUUUACUUUUAAAUUUUACUUAUUAUUAUUAUUAUUAUUAUUAUUAUCAUUAUUAUUAUUAUUAUUAUUAUUAUUAUUAUUAUUAUUAUUAUUAUUGUUGUUGUUGUUGUUGGUAUUAUUACUAUUAUUUACAUUUUUUCUAAUAGUAAUAACAAUUUUCCUUUAGCCUUUUCUGUAAUGUUUUUUCUAGCAAUAUAUAAAUCAAUAAAGUCAUAAAACACAAAUAUUCCAUACU
Scylla paramamosain (green mud crab) is the source of this 2457-nucleotide long non-coding RNA. RefSeq lists it as uncharacterized. The transcript has 8 exons. Lineage: Eukaryota; Metazoa; Arthropoda; Malacostraca; Decapoda; Portunidae. The record is from RefSeq and is a predicted model, not a curated record.